UCAUAGAGCAACAAAGCUUAAAAGAAGAAACAAAUUAGGUGAGAGUCUCUAGUUGAAAUCCAAAGAUAGUGAAAGAGAUGAAGGAUUAAGGCAGCUGAUCAAGGUCCUGUGUGUCUGCCAAUUUCUUUUCUUUUGGCUCUCUCCACUUUUGGAGCCAAAUAGUGUAAAAUUCAUGUUACAAUAGUUAUUUAACAUUCCUAGAACAUCUUACAUAAUGUCAAGUUUUAUUUUGUCUAAUGUCCAAGAUUAAUUGAAUGCUGCACAUCCUUUGUGAAACAACAAUAAAUGUGUUCCAAUUCAAUCUUUAAGAACAAUAAUUGGCCGAGGGCAAAUCUAGUCUGAGUGAUGCCAAAAACAUUUCUCUCAACACGCACACAAAACCAGCAACAAUCAAGAAAAUCUCAAAGGCCAAUUCGCAGCUGUUUCUUUACACAUUAUUUACCAAAACAAAUGAAGCUUUAAGGUAUGUAGGAGAAAUAACGCAAAUACUGACGUUGCAAAAUUUAAAGUAAAGUACAAAAUUCACGGAACAUUGUCGCUGGACUGCAAAAUAUAUUAGCCGCCCCCGAAUUAACUUCUUAUACCGCAUUGUAUAAACAACUUUAAAAAAAGUAUUUUAAAUUUAGAAAUAAAUAUGUAACCAGCAGGUAAUGAAACUAAU
Molecule: long non-coding RNA, 661 nt
Organism: Stomoxys calcitrans (stable fly)
Lineage: Eukaryota; Metazoa; Arthropoda; Insecta; Diptera; Muscidae
Exons: 3
Source: RefSeq, a predicted model, not a curated record